Long non-coding RNA from Pollicipes pollicipes, 269 nucleotides. RefSeq lists it as uncharacterized. The record is from RefSeq and is a predicted model, not a curated record. The transcript has 3 exons. NCBI's taxonomy places the organism in Eukaryota, Metazoa, Arthropoda, Thecostraca, Pollicipedomorpha, Pollicipedidae.
GCUGUGUUUGCCGACGUGCUUCACCUCAGCAACAACCAGCGCAAGACCGUCUCCGGCAUGACGGCCAGCCAGUACUACGAGCAGUACAACCAUGUGCGUGGGAACGCCUACUCACGUUUCCAUGGCUACGCCUACGACGGCAUCUGGGCCAUAGCCUCCACCCUGCACCAGGUGGACUGGCAGGUACGCCACAACCGGUCGCCUCUGCCCACCAAGUCGCGGCUCUCAGACUUUCGCUACAGGAACGGCGACUGGGAGGCCAUGCUGAA